CUGACUGUUCUGACUUGAUCUUCUAAAAGGCAAAUGUAUUUUACAUAAUUACAUUGGGUUUUAAGUGAGAAGAAGGAUUCAAGCUGUGGCCAUACUCUUUUAAAAAUACAACAUGGAAGUUUACCAACAUUGGACUCUAAUGUUUUGUGUUACAUGGAAACCUACAGUAAGCUUCCUUUAUCAAUCACUUGCUGACAUUUUUAAACCAGGAAGUGCUUCUCAGAUGGCCUUCAGCUGCAUUUCCAUAUUCCUGUGAACCAGAGCCCAUUGGCCAAACACCUGAGAAAACAUUUUUUGGCUGAUUGUUUUUCCUUUUGUGUCUUUUAAAUCAAUUUUGAUAUAUUUUAACAAUGAAAUGAGUGUUGAAUAUCAGCUAUGAAAUUCUACUAUUAAGUUCAGAUGUGAAACAGAGAAUUCAUGGGUAGAAAAAUGUGUAAAGGAUUUUAAUCUGUGAUAAUUUGCUUAUUUUCUUUGUGAUUUGUCAUUAUAUUCUUUGUAAAUUGUAAUAAGGAUCACCUAGUAAUCUCACAGAAAUGUUUAUUUUCUAACUAAAUUUGUGCCCAUGUAUAAAUUCCAUAUUUAACACUGGAAAUGUAUCCAUCCACAUCUGAAUGAAAUAUAAUCCUAAUUUUGUUUUCUUUAUGUAUGUGAUG
Molecule: long non-coding RNA, 653 nt
Filed under: Bos taurus (domestic cattle)
Lineage: Eukaryota; Metazoa; Chordata; Mammalia; Artiodactyla; Bovidae
Description: long non-coding RNA NONBTAT024590
Source: RNAcentral